UAAUCAUCAUUUCAUUCUCUUUAACAGCUUUGCAAACACAUCAGCUCCCUUUUGAAAUCGAAAUAAACCAUGAACCCUAGAUAAUCAUAUAGAAAUAAACCCUAGAGAAGAGAGAGUCAUGGAGCGGAGGAGAAGGCGGCGAGAUUUUAGUCUUUCACCAUGUGGGGGGUCGUGGAUUGAAAAUCUUAAACCCUGGAGAGACAUUUAUAGGGAGAGAUCACUGGCGGUGACGAGAAAGGGUAUAUGUUUAAGCUCAAAACUCACGAGCACGUUAGGCCCACGCUAACUAAGCCCAUUUGAUAAUUAUAUUGAGUGACCAUAAUAACCUCCUAUCUGUCGCAUAAUAUCAAAAUUAAACUUCUCUUCAAAAAACCAGAAUAAUCUGUGAGCUUCCGUUCGCCUUCCACGUCUGCCCCUGCUCCUAUCUGAGCUCAAUCCGAAUAACUCUCGCCGCCGCAGCUAAUCACUUGCCACGCGUCACUUUCAAGCUGCCUCCAUCAUGCCCUGACCACCACCACCACAAAGCCGCCCCCGCCGCCGCAAUUCAUCUCCAUCUGAAAGCCUCUCUCAGAAAGAAUGGAAAACCGGUACCUAAAACGCCUCUUCCGCGACAUGUGGAUUUAGGUUAAGGUUGGUGGGUCAUUCUCUUGGAGCUUCUGUAGCUUCGUUACUAGCAAUCAUGCUCCGUAAAAAGUCAAUUAAGAAAAUUGGUUUUAUCCCUGACAUCGUUACUGAUGUUGGCUAUGCAACUCUGCCCUGUGUCUCCGGAGAACUGGCUGAAAGUUGCUCUCAUUUUGUUACAACCAUAGUAAUGCAGGAUGACAUUAUACAUAGAUUAAGUGCAGCUUCUCCGGCAAGACUGAGAAAUGAAUUCUUCAAAUUGAUUGGAUGAGUGUGGUCGAGGAGGAGGACUGGAAAAGUGUGAUAGGUUUGGUCACAAAUGCAACGCAGGUCAUCUCUUCUGUGCAGGAUGUUGCUCAGAAACUUGUUGAUUAUGCCAGGUUUGGUAGCAAGAAAAAUUCUUCUGGUAACACCAUCCUGCUGUGUCCUGAUUCCGGAUGGCUGGAAAAUGUUUUAUUUCUUGAACAAUAUCAGUUGUAUUUUUAGGUUGGCUAUCAAAAUACCUGACACCAGACAGGCUUAAUUUGGAUUUAGCAUCUAGUAAAACUUUAAAAGAAUGGUGUAGAUGAAGCAAAUUGCCCAUCCCCAUAGUAUUUACUCACAAAUGUAGGAACUCCAUCGCUGCACCUUUGUUAUGGCUGAAGAUCAGGGUAUCUCCAUGAAUGGGGCCACAGGGCAUGGAGUUGGCUCUAACCUUUGGUAAUGGAAUUCUCGAACCCCGAGCACUAAGCAAAGAUAUCAAAGGCCUUUAUCAUUGAACCACGCAGUUUUUUGGUGGUGUGUAAGAAUUUCUGUCAGCAAUGGGGUCAGGUGUUUGGAAGGCCAUUUGAGUGGGGUUUUUAUGCCUAGACCAAAAGAUUAUGUUGUUAUUGAGGAUUAGUAAUGGUGAAGCAGUGUUGCAAUAUUUGGAGUUGGAUAAUGUGAGAAAAGAGGGUUUGGAGGUUGCCUGGGUGCCGUGAAGUGUGAACAUUGAGUACCAAGCUGAAUUCGGGUUUAUUCAGAGACAUUUGUGGAAGAAGUAAGGAUGGGUGUCUUGAGAAGAAGUCACAACAGUUUCCAAAUGAAACAGAACGUUUUGUACAAAAGUGCAAUGGGAGAUGUGGGGAGGGGAGCUUAAUAAUAGAAAUUGUUUCAAACCAACAUUUCAGAGUGAUGCUAGGUUGGAUGUUUUACUUAAGAAUGACAAUCAUAUUUGUUGGUUCCAGUUGAUAGUAGUCUUAUGGAAGGUAACGUGCGAAUUGUGAUGUUGGAGAUGCCAUGUAGCAAUCCAAUAUUCAUGGACUGGCUGAUACUAAAUCGUUAACUCUUGCAAAUAGAACUGGCAACCAUUUACCUCUCAUAAUUCCCUGAGCUACCCGCUGCUUCUCUGAUUCUGGCACUUUGUCUUUGCCUUUUAUUUCUGUAAUUUUGUUGCGAGUAGCCAUUGUUACAGAUUCUCGAUACCGAAGGCUAAUUAGCAACGACAGGAAAAUAUCCAUGAAGUUCCCAGAGAGGCAUCGGUGCGCUUUGAAAUCCAAGAGGUUGAGGUAUUCAACUCCAAAUUUCCCCACAUUACAAAUAUUGCGGGGGUUGAUUGUCUUCUCCGCAAUCAGGUUUAUGCGGAUAAGCAUUAUGAAAAGAAAAGAAAAGAAAAGUUCCUUGCCAUUAAGAAUAUAGUAAAUAUUUGAGCUUACCCAUAUAACUGUAAAUAAUGGGAGUAAGCUUCCCCACCAUUACCUACCUUAAAAAGUAAUGGCUAAGCAAGAAUUGGCCGUAUCCAUUGCCACUUCUAGGCCACCCUACCCUAGGGUUUAUAGCAUCCAAGAAAAAGUAGAAAACCAAUGCUUAACACGCCUUAAACACACCGACUGCUAAUGCUUAGCCAAUUAAAAAUUGUAUGCCUCAUGAACACGCUUUUCUUGACUUAAUUUUGCACACAAAGCUGUACCAAACUAAAUUUAGAUGUUGUAAUUCUGGACUCAACUUUUGAAAGUGUUCCUAUUCGUGCAUGAUUGUGGAAACAAAAAAAUAAUAUUAUAUCUUGCUUCAAUUAA
Molecule: RNA transcript, 2654 nt
Organism: Populus euphratica (Euphrates poplar)
Lineage: Eukaryota; Viridiplantae; Streptophyta; Magnoliopsida; Malpighiales; Salicaceae
Exons: 5
Source: RefSeq, a predicted model, not a curated record